UGGGGAAAAACAAUGAAAACA
This 21-nucleotide non-coding RNA is filed under the name Caenorhabditis elegans. The record is from RNAcentral. Lineage: Eukaryota; Metazoa; Nematoda; Chromadorea; Rhabditida; Rhabditidae.